GAAGGACGGGACAAACACCGAUAUGUCCUGGGGAGCCGUACGUAGGCAUUGAUCCAGGAAUUUCCGAAUGGGGAAACCCACUGCUCGUAAUGGAGUAGUACAUGUAUCUGAAUACAUAGGAUACAUGAGGCAGACCCGGGGAACUGAAACAUCUAAGUACCCGGAGGAAGAGAAAGCAAAUGCGAUUUCCUGAGUAGCGGCGAGCGAAACGGAAACAGCCCAAACCAGAAAGCUUGCUUUCUGGGGUUGUAGGACACUCUAUACGGAGUUACAAAGAAAUACUUUAGACGAAUCGAUCUGGAAAGAUCAGCCAAAGAGGGUAACAGCCCUGUAGUCGAAAAAGUGUUUCCUCCAGAGUGGAUCCUGAGUACGGCGGAACACGUGAAAUUCCGUCGGAAUCCGGGAGGACCAUCUCCCAAGGCUAAAUACUCCCUAGUGACCGAUAGUGAACCAGUACCGUGAGGGAAAGGUGAAAAGCACCCCGGAAGGGGAGUGAAAUAGUACCUGAAACCGUGUGCCUACAAGUAGUCGGAGCGCGUUAAUGCGUGACGGCGUACCUUUUGUAGAAUGGACCGGCGAGUUACGAUCUCCUGCAAGGUUAAGUCGCAUAGACGGAGCCGCAGCGAAAGCGAGUCUGAAUAGGGCGCUUUUAGUAGUAGGUCGUAGACCCGAAACCGUGUGAUCUACCCAUGUCCAGGGUGAAGGUCAGGUAACACUGACUGGAGGCCCGAACCCACGCACGUUGAAAAGUGCGGGGAUGAGGUGUGGGUAGGGGUGAAAUGCCAAUCGAACACGGAGAUAGCUGGUUCUCUCCGAAAUAGCUUUAGGGCUAGCCUCAAGAGUUGAGUACUGGAGGUAGAGCACUGAUUGGACUAGGGGCCCUCACCGGGUUACCGAAUUCAGUCAAACUCCGAAUGCCAAAUACUCUAUCUUGGGAGUCAGACUAUGGGUGAUAAGGUUCAUAGUCGAAAGGGAAACAGCCCAGACCGUCAGCUAAGGUCCCAAAGUAUACGUUAAGUGGAAAAGGAUGUGGAGUUGCUUAGACAACCAGGAUGUUGGCUUAGAAGCAGCCACCAUUUAAAGAGUGCGUAAUAGCUCACUGGUCGAGUGACUCUGCGCCGAAAAUGUACCGGGGCUAAACGUAUCACCGAAGCUACGGAUUGCGAAAGAAUUACUCUUUCGCUUUGGUAGGAGAGCGUUCUAAGUGCUGUGAAGUCAGACCGUGAGGACUGGUGGAGCGCUUAGAAGUGAGAAUGCCGGUAUGAGUAGCGAAAUAGAAGUGAGAAUCUUCUACACCGAAUGCCUAAGGUUUCCUGAGGAAGGCUCGUCCGCUCAGGGUUAGUCGGGACCUAAGCCGAGGCCGAAAGGCGUAGGCGAUGGACAACAGGUUGAUAUUCCUGUACCACCUCUAGACCGUUUGAACGAUGGGGGGACGCAGUAGGAUAAGGAAAGCGCGCUGCUGGUUAUGCGCGCCCAAGCAGUGAGACUGUUGGAUAGGCAAAUCCGUCCAACUUAAGGUUGAGCUGUGAUGGGGAGGGAAAUAUAGUACCGAAGUUCCUGAUUUCACACUGCCAAGAAAAGCCUCUAGUAAGGUCUAUGGUGCCCGUACCGCAAACCGACACAGGUAGGCGAGGAGAGAAUCCUAAGGUGAUCGGGAGAACUCUCGUUAAGGAACUCGGCAAAAUGACCCCGUAACUUCGGGAGAAGGGGUGCUUCUUGCAUGAGAAGCCGCAGUGAAAAGGCCCAAGCGACUGUUUAGCAAAAACACAGGUCUCUGCGAAGCCGUAAGGCGAAGUAUAGGGGCUGACACCUGCCCGGUGCUGGAAGGUUAAGGGGACAUGUUAGCCG
This 1848-nucleotide ribosomal RNA is filed under the name Aquibacillus koreensis. RNAcentral describes it as "Virgibacillus koreensis Bacterial large subunit ribosomal RNA". It matches the Rfam family "Bacterial large subunit ribosomal RNA", at positions 51 to 1896 of the family's 2925-position model. The record is from Rfam by way of RNAcentral. Lineage: Bacteria; Bacillati; Bacillota; Bacilli; Caryophanales; Bacillaceae.